This 468-nucleotide ribosomal RNA is filed under the name uncultured bacterium. RNAcentral describes it as "partial 16S ribosomal RNA". It matches the Rfam family "Bacterial small subunit ribosomal RNA", at positions 28 to 507 of the family's 1533-position model. The record is from RNAcentral.
GACGAACGCUGGCGGCGUGCUUAACACAUGCAAGUCGAACGGAAAGGCCCUGCUUUUGUGGGGUGCUCGAGUGGCGAACGGGUGAGUAACACGUGAGUAACCUGCCCUUGACUUUGGGAUAACUUCAGGAAACUGGGGCUAAUACCGGAUAGGAGCUCCUGCUGCAUGGUGGGGGUUGGAAAGUUUCGGCGGUUGGGGAUGGACUCGCGGCUUAUCAGCUUGUUGGUGGGGUAGUGGCUUACCAAGGCUUUGACGGGUAGCCGGCCUGAGAGGGUGACCGGCCACAUUGGGACUGAGAUACGGCCCAGACUCCUACGGGAGGCAGCAGUGGGGAAUAUUGCACAAUGGGCGGAAGCCUGAUGCAGCAACGCCGCGUGCAGGAUGACGGCCUUCGGGUUGUAAACCGCUUUCGCCUGUGACGAAGCGUGAGUGACGGUAAUGGGUGAAGAAGCACCGGCUAACUACGUG